CUCCAGCACGCUCUUCUUCGAGACCCAGAGAAAUACUCUUAUCACCAGCAAACUCUUCUUCAAGACCGAGAGAAAUAAUUUCUUUUAUCACCAGAAAUCCUUUCUCUCAAGCCAUUUUCGGGAAGAAAUUGAGACCAAGAGAUACCUGAGAAGAAGCAAAUCCAUCGCUGGUUCGUUGUUGCUUGCUGGUUCUGCUCCUUGCCUGCUACUGCGCUUUCCUUGAUUGUCGUUUCUGCUGUUGUCUCUGCUAAGGACCAGUGGACCAAAACUCUCGAUCGACCUUGCUAUUGUAGUAAGAGUUUAUUUCUUCUUCUUAUCCUUUGCUAUUAGAUUUGCCUUUGAUGAUUUAAUAUUUUCUACUUAGAUUUGUCGUUAAUUAACCUACCAAAUAGCAAAAGCAAUUGCCCAAAAAUGGUGAUGGGUUUUAUUUUGAUCCUCCAUUAUGAUGGUUGUGGUUGCGGGCAUGAUUUUUUUUUUCUUGAAAUAAGCGGCUAGGUGUAGAUAAGUUUGCGAUUUUGAUCUUCCAUUUGGUGUGAAUAAGUUUGCAAUAGAGGGGCUAAUGUAGGUAUGAUCUGUUUGGUUUCUUGAGACUGUUAAAAAUAGAAGUGGGAGACUGAUUAGUAUAUGAUGAUGUAGGUGGAGUUUAUCCUUUUGGCAGUGAAAUUACACUAAAAAUAAUGGGAAAGUAGCUGCAUAAUGUAUUGAAAAGGAAUUGAGGGGAAAGACCAGAAAAUGAUUAAACAUUUUUCUUUGUGGAUAUGUUCCCAUUUGAAUUUUGGGUGAAAGUGAGCUAGGCUAUAAUACUCCUGUUUUCUUUGUUAGUAAUUUUUUUAUAAACUGUUAUAUACUUGACAGACUCUUUAGUAUGUUUAUUUCUGUCAAAUUAAAUAACAGAAGGAUGAGUAGGAUGGGAUAAGUAGAAAGUAUUUAUGGAACAUAUUUGCUGACUUUAAAAAUUAAAAUGUGGUAUUAAAUGCAGUUUCAUUAUAAAGGGAAAAUUGAGAAUUCUCUAUUUCUAGGUUAAUUUCUGAUUGAACUUUUUCCUGAUGCUUUACAUGUUUUGUCUUGCAUUGUUCAUUUCCUCUCAUAAUUUAGCAAAUAUGAGUUCUUUGGCUUUGGGGCCAAUGGAGCUUUCACCACAAUGAAGGAGUAUUAGGGAUUUGCUGUCUGAACUUCUAGAUUUUUUUCUCUGUUUAUUAUAUACUGCACUUUAGAUGAUCGUGACAGUUUUAGAUAUUGGUUUUUAACAAAUGAUUCCUGUUUGUAUGAAAUGGAAUUGUGUCGUUAUUUAAUUGUUUUAAAAUCUAUAAUUUUCCUUUGUAAUGUUCUUUAAUUUUUUUGAUUUCAUGUUCGGUUAUCUAAAUUCAAAUAACCAAUAUACACUACCUUUUGAGAAAAAAACAUUAAAUAAUCUGGUUCGAGCGUGCAUGGGUCUUAUGCAGGUGAUUGCUAGGGUGUUUGGAACUGGUACAAGUAUAAAAAGAUAAAUUCUAAUUAGACUUGGGAUGAUUUCAGGUAUUAUAUAACAAGAUUUGGGUUUGAGUAUUCUUUAUUUCGCGCGUAAUCUACCCUGGCAAUCAGGUUAGUCAUGUUCUUGUCUAGUCAUACUGUUGAUGCGUGAUGGCAAAAGAGAAGGAAAUAGGUGAAGGGAGAAACGGGAAGCAAAAGAUGAGCAUGGUCAUGUAAACGGCAACAAAAGGUGAGGGUGAAAGUUUAAGGAGUAUUGCAGGUGGAAUAGGAGGAGGAUGAGCAAGGGCUUUGAGAAUGGAGGGUAUAGCUAAUUAGCAUAAGUCAUAGGAAGGUAAGACCUUUCCUUGAAAAUAGAAAGGAGGAGAAUUCUCGGGUUAGAGGGCUUGAACCUCAGAGUUCUUGGAGGAAGAUUUAAAUAAUACUUCUUAACUGCUGAUGGUGACAAUUACAUGGUACCAUUUUGAUAUUUUUUGAACUACAUAUCUUAAAAUAUCAAAUUGCUAAAUCAGAUAAUAUUUUUUUUCUGUAUUUUUCCUUAAAAAUAUUUUGAUUGAACUUAAUUGUUAUAGAACUACAAUUCAUUGAAUUAAAUUAAACAAACCACUUAACUUGAUUAUGUUUUUCAAAUUUUCAAAAGCAAAUGACCCAGCAUUGACAUCCACUACUUGUCUCCACUUGCAGCUUAUUGGUACAAAGUGUCCGCCACAUAGUAGCCAGUGGUUUCAAUUUCCAUGUUCCUUCCAAAACCCAAGUCUAGUGUCUUGAAACAAUUGUUCUUUGUCACUUUUCAAAAUCCAAUCCUUUCCCGUGCUAAUCACCUCUACCAAAAGCUACCUCAACAGUACACACAAACCUGCAAUUAUGUGGAUGUGUACAUGAAAUGGAAGAAAGAUUCAUACUAUGAGUCGAUAGAGCACAUACACAAGUCCAAGGAGCUCAAACCCAUCCUUUCUUUGAAAGAUUUCAUAGCCCAAAACCCAAAUGGUUGUAUCCCAAUCUCUGAUGUAUCAAAAAGAGGACUGCAAUUUGAUGUGAAGAUCAAGGUUGCUAGGUUUUUGAGACAAUAUCCCUCAAUCUUUGAGGAGUUUGUUGGUCCAAAAUAUAAUUUGCCUUGGUUUAGAUUGACGGAAGAAGCUGCUGCAAUUAAUAGAGAAGAGAACAAGGUGCUUGAGGAGUAUAAAGAGGAUUUGAAAGAGAGAUUGAAGAAGUUUAUAUUAAUGAGUAAGGAGAAGGUAUUGCCUUUCAAGAUUAUUAAAGGCAUGUUAUGGUAUUUGGGUUUACCGGAAGAUUUUUUGCAGCAUCAAGAUAAGAAUUUUGACAGUUCUUUUAGAGUUGUGGAGUUGGAGGAUGGAUCAAAGGGAUUGGGUGUUGAAAGUACCAAAAAGAUUUUGUCAGUAUUGCAGAAAAAUGCAAUGAGGAAAGGGUUAUAUUAUGGAGAGCCAAUGGAGGCAAUUGAAUUUCCCCUUUUCCCAUCAAAGGGUUUGAGGUUGAGGAGAAAGAUUCAGGAUUGGUUGAAAGAGUUCCAAAAACUUCCUUAUGUAUCACCCUAUGAAGAUAAUUCACAUUUAGAUCCUAACAGUGAUAUUGGAGAGAAAAGAGUUGUGGGUUUGCUUCACGAAUUUCUUUCUUUGUUUGUUGAGCAUUCAGUAGAAAGGAAGAAGCUUUUGUGCCUUAAGAAGUAUUUUGAGUUGCCCCAGAAGGUGCAUAAGGCAUUUGAAAGGCAUCCCCACAUGUUUUACUUGUCUUUCAGGAACAAGACUUGCACAACAAUUCUUAAGGAGGCAUAUGGUGAUGAUGAACUGGCUAUGGAGAGGCAUCCAAUGGCGAUGAUCAGGAAGAAGUACAUUAAGUUGAUGAAGGAAUCAGAGGUGAUUUUGAAGAGGAGAAGAGCAAACAAUCCAUUUCUUGAAUAUAAGAAGUUGGAUUUUGAAAUGGAUUCUGUCAAUGAAGAAAGAAGAGAAGAGGAGAAACAGUAGGGUUUCAGGCAGACUGGUAGAGACUAAUUAGAGGUAAAAGUUGCUUUUACGUGAUGUUCAUUGCCUUUAUUUUAUAGAGUUCCCUCCAUCUUUGUGAUCAACUUUAUAUUACUAAAAAAAUGCAAUGCAUGCACGUUACCAUGUCCUGAACAGAAAAAAAAGAGAAGAAAGAAAAAAUCUAAUCCUGUGUAUCAAUGUAAAGAAUAUUGGACUUCCAGCUUCAUACAAUUGGAGGAUUAUUCAUUUAUAUUCAAUUGCCCAAGUCAAAUUUUAUUCUAGAACUAUUAGGCGCUUUUCUUAGACAGAAACUUCACCGAGAAAAUUUUGUAAGGCAAAACGAUUUGAUAAACAACGAAAUGCAAAACAAAAAAGUGAACCAACACUGUCUAUCUUUCCUUUUUUCCUUAUUUGUUAGCUGCAAAGGCAGACAAAAGUGCUGUUUAAAGAUUGAUCUAGAACACUGCCAAACCAUCAUUAUUAAACCACUCGCCCUACACAUAUAAAUAAUUUUAUGAAAUAAUAUUUGCUUUUGCAUGAAAUCAACUAGUUAAGGUUAGUAUAGACCUGUAAGGAACUCUCUGGAAGCACAUCUGCUCCCAGUACUUCUAGUUUUUGUACUCGUUCUACUUUUAUGAUAUAUAUUUUUUGUAGUCUGACAAAUUGGAACUAAUGAGGGAGAGGAUGAUAAAAGUGCAUGAGCUUUUUCAUGAGACAGGCUCCAGAGUUUGUCAUAGUUAUGAUUCCCAGGGUUGGCAGGAAACCUUUUUUUCCUUAUUUCAUUAAUGAAAGUACUCGUGCAAACUGCUUUGCUUGCAAAAAUGGGGUAGGAUAUUCAGGCUAGAUGCACUUUUACAACUGCAAUAUCCACAUUUGCAAUGAAGAGAAGGGUGUGGAUCAGGUGCGCGCCCUUUAAAUGGUACAAAAUGAUUCUGAACUCACCAGCUUGACAUUGAUACAGGCACCCCUAGUCAAUGUAGAGAUCAGAGGAGUGCCAGCACUUAAAUUUUUGGGAGACAUCAUAUGGAAAUGAGCUCUGAAGAGCAAUAUUAGAAAUGCAGAGAGCCUCCUCCAUCUUUGUGGUAGGCUUGCAUACACUUGGAGGAGCAGCUAAGUUACCAAACAAAAUAGGAAUAGUCAUUCAUUGGCAAACAAGAUAGUUCCAUUACAGCUUUUAACAAAAUUUACAUAAGAAGAAACCAUUUCGUUGAGUGGCAAUUACAGGAUACAGAAGAUGAAGCCCCUAAUAAUCAAGAAGCCAUAUAGGGAAGGUAACGGUUGCAUGUUAAGUUUUUCCAUAUUAACAUGGUUCUUGUUGCAUAUACAUGAAGUUUGUAUUUGUUCUUUUCAAGUCAGUUAGAUUUCUCAUGUAAUAGUUCCAUUUUUUAAAGUUUGUACUAAUUAAUAUAGUAUCAUAUAAGGAGCGGUUAGCCAUUGCACAGUGAAAUGAACAGUUCAUUUGAAUUGAUUUUGGCUGAGAGAA
RNA transcript from Manihot esculenta (cassava), 4926 nucleotides. It is a transcript of the gene named protein WHAT'S THIS FACTOR 9, mitochondrial, with no coding region annotated. The record is from RefSeq and is a predicted model, not a curated record. NCBI's taxonomy places the organism in Eukaryota, Viridiplantae, Streptophyta, Magnoliopsida, Malpighiales, Euphorbiaceae. The transcript is spliced from 3 exons.